Camellia sinensis is the source of this 733-nucleotide long non-coding RNA. RefSeq lists it as uncharacterized. The record is from RefSeq and is a predicted model, not a curated record. Lineage: Eukaryota; Viridiplantae; Streptophyta; Magnoliopsida; Ericales; Theaceae.
ACAUAAAAGUUGUUGUCAUUUUUGAAGCCAAACACCAACCGAACCUUUUCAUUCGAUUGUGAGAAAAAAGCCCUUAGACCUAAAGGCCCCUUUUCUCCCUUCUCUCUUAGCUCUAUCACUCACCGUCGCUUACCUCUGUCGUAUGCUGGUCCAGCCUCCAGCAACCAUCCAUACCAACACCAGGUUAUAGAGAGAUACAUGCAGUCAAUGUCAGGGAAAUGAUAUUCAUAAUGAUCAAUGUCUCUUUCGAUAUGAUUAUUGGUGCCUAUCUACUUGGUAACAUGGCAGCAUUGAUUGUGAAAGGAUAAAAAACAGAAAGGCAACCAAAGUCCAUGAGGAAUUUUUCCUCCUAGGAGAAGUAAUUAUAGAGCAGAUUGGCAACGGUGGAAAAUAGUUCAGGCUGCAUUAGAAGAUUUGAUUUUGUGUUUUUGGAAAUAUUUUGACAUAGAAUUUUGAUAAAUGACUUAUGGGUUAGAUGUUUAGUAUCAAAAUAUUUGGUUUUGUGUUUUUGCAAAUAUUUUGACAUAGAAUUUUGGUAAAUGACUUGUGGGUUAGAUGUUUAGAAUUUGGUUUUGUGUUUUUGAAAAUAUUUUGACAUAGGAUUUGGUAAUGGAUUUGUGGGUUUGAUGUUAAUAGUUUGUAAGUACUUUGGUAUGAAUAUUUCAAAUUGUUAGAGAAUUGUAAUUAUGUUUAUUAGGAUGUUUAAUAGCUAUUAAUUUUGAAUUAUUAUGAA